UACGUAGGGGGCAAGCGUUGUCCGGAAUCAUUGGGCGUAAAGAGCGCGUAGGCGGCCCUGUAAGUCCGCUGUGAAAGUCAAGGGCUCAACCCUUGAAUGCCGGUGGAUACUGCAGGGCUAGAGUCCGGAAGAGGCGAGUGGAAUUCCUGGUGUAGCGGUGAAAUGCGCAGAUAUCAGGAGGAAUACCUAUGGCGAAAGCAGGUCUCUGGGCCAUAACUGACGCUGAGCUGCGAAAGCUAGGGGAGCAAACAGG
Molecule: ribosomal RNA, 253 nt
Filed under: uncultured bacterium
Lineage: Bacteria
Description: partial 16S ribosomal RNA
Rfam family: Bacterial small subunit ribosomal RNA
Source: RNAcentral